This 253-nucleotide ribosomal RNA is filed under the name uncultured bacterium. RNAcentral's name for it is "partial 16S ribosomal RNA". It matches the Rfam family "Bacterial small subunit ribosomal RNA", at positions 524 to 776 of the family's 1533-position model. The record is from RNAcentral.
UACGAAGGGGGCUAGCGUUGUUCGGAAUUACUGGGCGUAAAGCGCACGCAGGCGGUUCGCAUAGUCAGAAGUGAAAGCCCUGGGCUCAACCCGGGAAUUGCUUUUGAUACUAGCGGACUAGACUCAGGGAGAGGAUAGCGGAAUUCCGAGUGUAGAGGUGAAAUUCGUAGAUAUUCGGAAGAACACCAGUGGCGAAGGCGGCUAUCUGGCCCUCGAGUGACGCUCAUGUGCGAAAGCGUGGGGAGCAAACAGG